RNAcentral lists this ribosomal RNA (111 nucleotides) under Caerostris darwini. The record is from RNAcentral. Lineage: Eukaryota; Metazoa; Arthropoda; Arachnida; Araneae; Araneidae.
AACGGCCGUACCAUGCUGAAUAUACCGGUUCUCGUUAGAUCACCGAAGUUAAGCAUCAUUGGGCGCGGUCAGUACUUGGGUGGGUGACCACCUGGGAACACUGCUUGCCGU